RNAcentral lists this ribosomal RNA (252 nucleotides) under uncultured bacterium. RNAcentral describes it as "partial 16S ribosomal RNA". It matches the Rfam family "Bacterial small subunit ribosomal RNA", at positions 524 to 776 of the family's 1533-position model. The record is from RNAcentral.
UACGUAGGUGACAAGCGUUGUCCGGAUUUACUGGGCGUAAAGAGCGCGCAGGCGGUCGUUCAAGUCGCGUGUGAAAGCCCCGGCUCAACUGGGGAGGGUCACGCGAUACUGAUCGACUGGAAGGCAGGAGAGGGUAGUGGAAUUCCCGGUGUAGUGGUGAAAUGCGUAGAUAUCGUAAGGAAGACCAGUGGCGAAGGCGGGUCUCUGGACAGUUCCUGACGCUGAGGCACGAAGGCCAGGGGAGCAAACGGG